UGGACUGCAGCCUACCAGGCUCCUCUGUCCAUGGGGUUUUCCAGGCAAGUGGAAUGGAGCAGGUUGCCAUUGCCUUCUACCUUACACUGACUGUACUUCCUAAAACAUCCCAAGUAAAGUAGUCUCUCUCCUUUGAUUAUGUAUUUAUUAUAUCUUAAGAACAAAGAUGUUAGGCAGGCGUCUCUUACUAAAAGGUACAAAUCAGUUCUGACAAAAUGACUUGAGAUAAGAUUUUCUAUGAAUAUAUAUUUAUGUUAGAUGCAUAUUACUUUUUUUUAAUUGCCUUUUAGAAUUUGUAGCAUUGCUGCUGUUUGAUAAAUUUAUUGUGAAAUUAAACCAGAAAGGCUUGAGGUUGUCCUUAACGGGCAAAACCGAAUACAGAGGGAACAUGUUCUGUCAGCUCGUAUUAAAAUGUCAAGAGAGCUAACAGAGGCUCCUCUCAAGGACCAAAUUGAACAUAUUUGAGAAAACAGCAUCACUGGGACAGAGGAAUUACUCAGACUUCACUGAGGUCCCUAGGGCAUCGCAAACAGCAUCCCAGAAAGAAAGUGAAAGUGCCCUUAGAGGAGAGAUUAGUGUCAUGCCAAAACUGUGCAUUGUCUGAAGUGAGUGACCUAGAGCAAACAUAAAGAAAGUUACGUGUGAUGUUAUGCUUUCCAGGAAAGUGUUUAUGCGGAACAGGAAUUGUGCAAAUCUCUAUGAGAAUGUGGUCUAUAAAACUGAUUGUGUUUUUUCAAGUUAUUCCAUCUGUAAGCAAUGUGCAUGAAAUAGGUUUUGUUAAAAUAAAGGAAAUUGAAUUCAAGGUGCUCCCUAAAAACUAUCCUAUCAGCAUGAACACCAGCCUAGAAACUAGAUGCAGUCACCUCCCAUAUUUCAUAUUUAAAUUUUCCCCAAUAUCUCAAAAUGUUUCUCAAAUUCAUGAAUCUGUCUACCCAAGCUGUAAGUGUGUAUUACUUUAAAACUUUUCAAGUCAUUUGCCAGACAAGGUAUGAUAAGCAUAGGCUGAAUGGUGCAGUUGUAUGGAUUAUAUGCAAGGGUAUUCCAUU
RNAcentral lists this long non-coding RNA (1046 nucleotides) under Capra hircus (goat). RNAcentral describes it as "lncRNA (ENSCHIG00010017529.1)". Lineage: Eukaryota; Metazoa; Chordata; Mammalia; Artiodactyla; Bovidae. The record is from RNAcentral.